GGUAUAAGUAUUAAAGUAUGAAAUAUGCUACUCUGUUAGAUUGAAAUUGAAGUAAAUCACAUUAUUAUGAGUAUUAUGAAAUACGUAUGUAUGAUCUGUUUGGUUAUGUAUAAGCAUGUGUACUAUCUGUUACAUGAGCAUGCAUGAUAUGAUAAUUCUAAUAUCUAUUAAUCUAUUUUAUCUGAUAUUUUGUUUGUAUCUAGCUAUAAGGCGAGAUUUGUAUUAUGAGGAGGAAGUGUUCUGUGUCAG
This 249-nucleotide long non-coding RNA is filed under the name Gossypium barbadense (sea-island cotton). RNAcentral's name for it is "long non-coding RNA (GBAR_LNC000201)". Lineage: Eukaryota; Viridiplantae; Streptophyta; Magnoliopsida; Malvales; Malvaceae. The record is from RNAcentral.